UUUGAUCCUGGCUCAGGAUGAACGCUGGCGGUAUGCUUAACACAUGCAAGUCGAACGGGACUCUUCGGAGAAUCUGGCUUCAGGUUCGGGACAACCACGGGAAACGGUGGCUAAUACCGAAUGUGCAGAAAUGUGAAAGAUUAAUUGCCUGAAGAUGAGCUCGCGUCUGAUUAGCUAGUUGGUGGGGUAAGAGCCUACCAAGGCAACGAUCAGUAACUGGUCUGAGAGGAUGACCAGUCACACUGGGACUGAGACACGGCCCAGACUCCUACGGGAGGCAGCAGUGGGGAAUUUUCCGCAAUGGGCGAAAGCCUGACGGAGCAAUACCGCGUGAGGGAGGAAGGCUCUAGGGUUGUAAACCUCUUUUCUCAGGGAAGAACAAAAUGACGGUACCUGAGGAAUCAGCAUCGGCUAACUCCGUGCCAGCAGCCGCGGUAAUACGGAGGAUGCAAGCGUUAUCCGGAAUGAUUGGGCGUAAAGCGUCCGCAGGUGGCAAGUCAAGUUUGCGGUUAAAGGUUCUGGCUCAACCAGGGACAGGCCGUGAAAACUGACUAGCUAGAGUAUGGUAGGGGCAGAGGGAAUUCCCAGUGUAGCGGUGAAAUGCGUAGAGAUUGGGAAGAACACCGGUGGCGAAAGCGCUCUGCUAGGCCAAAACUGACACUGAGGGACGAAAGCUAGGGGAGCGAAUGGGAUUAGAUACCCCAGUAGUCCUAGCCGUAAACGAUGGAUACUAG
Molecule: ribosomal RNA, 734 nt
Filed under: uncultured cyanobacterium
Lineage: Bacteria; Bacillati; Cyanobacteriota
Description: bacterial SSU rRNA
Rfam family: Bacterial small subunit ribosomal RNA
Source: RNAcentral